This 506-nucleotide ribosomal RNA is filed under the name uncultured bacterium. RNAcentral's name for it is "partial 16S ribosomal RNA". It matches the Rfam family "Bacterial small subunit ribosomal RNA", at positions 30 to 523 of the family's 1533-position model. The record is from RNAcentral.
AUUGAACGCUGGCGGCAGGCCUAACACAUGCAAGUCGAACGGUAACAGGAAACAGCUUGCUGUUUCGCUGACGAGUGGCGGACGGGUGAGUAAUGUCUGGGAAACUGCCUGAUGGAGGGGGAUAACUACUGGAAACGGUAGCUAAUACCGCAUAACGUCGCAAGACCAAAGAGGGGGACCUUCGGGCCUCUUGCCAUCGGAUGUGCCCAGAUGGGAUUAGCUUGUUGGUGGGGUAACGGCUCACCAAGGCGACGAUCCCUAGCUGGUCUGAGGGGAUGACCAGCCACACUGGAACUGAGACACGGUCCAGACUCCUACGGGAGGCAGCAGUGGGGAAUAUUGCACAAUGGGCGCAAGCCUGAUGCAGCCAGGCCGCGUGUAUGAAGAAGGCCUUCGGGUUGUAAAGUACUUUCAGCGAGGAGGAAGGGAGUAAAGUUAGUACCUUUACUCAUUGACGUUACCCGCAGAAGAAGCACCGGCUAACUCCGUGCCAGCAGCCGCCGUAA